AAAUGGAAGAAAAGAAAGAAAUUAAUAAUAUCUCUUCUUCUCCUUCUUCUCCUCCCUCUCUUAUUCCUCCUCCUUCUUCUUCUCCUCCUUCCUCCUCUCUCUCUUCUUCUCUUCCUUUAUUAGCAUCUAAAAGAUGGACUGUUGAAAAGAAAAAAUUAACUUGGGAAGAAGAAUUAAAUAAUUUUAG
This 187-nucleotide non-coding RNA is filed under the name Paraphysomonas vestita. The record is from RNAcentral. Lineage: Eukaryota; Chrysophyceae; Chromulinales; Paraphysomonadaceae.